GAGAGGUUUAACUCUUUGCAAGGAAACACAAGGGAGAGGGGAAGCCGCCUGCAAGGAGAGGGGAUCUCUGCAAUCAGACCCAGUUGGACCCUGUCAUUAGAGGAAAAGCUCUGGGCAGUGACAACAGCGUGCCUGGCCUGCACCCCCCGCAUGGGAACAGUCAGGCAUGGCGUGGGCAUUGCCGAAGUCUCUGCGGUGUCAGGAUGGGAGAGAAGAUAAAGUCGAAACAGGGAAGCAGUUGCAGUCCAGGUGCCAAGCGGACGUUGCACAACCAGCCAUGGGAAGAAAGGCUCAAGGCUGUGACUUUGCUGGCUUCUGCACCCCAAGCAAGAAGAGGUCUGGGAACCGGAUUGGGCUCCAAAUGAUGAAAGUCCAGAGGACUUCAGAGAAAUGUGGCGUUCUCCACUCUGCCCCUCUGCAGACCCGUCUGGAGAUGUGACGCGGCCAGGGCUGCCGCUGGUGUCACCGGAUUUCUUGCCCUUCCCCAUGAGCGAUCCCACUUCCUCUCGCCCACGCAGUCCGCAGAGAAACACGAAGAGGAAAAGAAGCGAGGAAAUGCCCCGCUUUGGGGCCAAGGCAACACCACCACCAAGGCCAAUUCUCUCCCAAACCUUAGAAAGCCUCAGCGAUGGCGAGGGCCCCGCUGCCGGCGGCUGCAGCUGGAGCCAGCAGGUGCCCAGCCAGCUGUGGGAAGCGACGGAGCAGGCGCUGCUGCCGCUUCGCCGGACCUGCUCACCACGACGGGGCCAGGCG
Molecule: long non-coding RNA, 753 nt
Filed under: Struthio camelus australis
Lineage: Eukaryota; Metazoa; Chordata; Aves; Struthioniformes; Struthionidae
Description: lncRNA (ENSSCUG00000000676.1)
Source: RNAcentral